This 350-nucleotide long non-coding RNA is filed under the name Nicotiana benthamiana. RNAcentral describes it as "long non-coding RNA (NBEN_LNC001997)". Lineage: Eukaryota; Viridiplantae; Streptophyta; Magnoliopsida; Solanales; Solanaceae. The record is from RNAcentral.
CGAGUUGAUACAGUAGGAAAGUUUUUACAUGUUAUUGAAGACACAUUUCUGAAUCUGGAUGUAAGAACUGCCAACAGAUUUACGCCAAGAAGGAUUGAUGAAGGGAAAGGUGAACCUUCUACAGGUGGUCUAUCAUAAAGUGCAAAAAGAUCCCGUAACCGGUGAAUAACUUGGUAAGCAAUUACAAGCUCAAUCAAACCAUCUUGCAGUUGAAGGGCACGUUCAUCCGAACUUGCAUGACCAAUGAUUGCUGCAGCAGUCCAAAGGAAACCAUCCAGAAUUUCAGAGAUUAACUCCAAUCUGUCAGUUGAUGUCUUACAGGUAACCAGGUUGGCAGAAGCAGAGCCAUU